GGUCGCGUGGCCCAAUGGCAAGGCAGUUGACUACGAAUCAGAAGAUUGUGGGUUCGAUCCCCACCGUGACCU
This 72-nucleotide transfer RNA is filed under the name Clonostachys rosea. Its description in RNAcentral is "Bionectria ochroleuca tRNA". It matches the Rfam family "tRNA". Rfam says of the family: Transfer RNA (tRNA) molecules are approximately 80 nucleotides in length. Their secondary structure includes four short double-helical elements and three loops (D, anti-codon, and T loops). Further hydrogen bonds mediate the characteristic L-shaped molecular structure. tRNAs have two regions of fundamental functional importance: the anti-codon, which is responsible for specific mRNA codon recognition, and the 3' end, to which the tRNAs corresponding amino acid is attached (by aminoacyl-tRNA synthetases). tRNAs cope with the degeneracy of the genetic code in two manners: having more than one tRNA (with a specific anti-codon) for a particular amino acid; and 'wobble' base-pairing, i.e. permitting non-standard base-pairing at the 3rd anti-codon position. Lineage: Eukaryota; Fungi; Ascomycota; Sordariomycetes; Hypocreales; Bionectriaceae. RNAcentral also lists the same sequence under 5 other names. The record is from Rfam by way of RNAcentral.